AAUUUUUAAACUUAAAAAAAAAAUUUUCUAAUUGUAAAAAAAUAAAAAAUUCCAAAUUAUCCAAAAAAUAAAAAAUAAAAAUUUUAAAUUUUUUAAAUUAAUCUAUUCUUAAUUUGUGAACAAGUGCAGCAAAAAAAAUCAACUGUCUAGUUGUAGCAUUAUCCAUAAAAU
Non-coding RNA from Arachis ipaensis, 171 nucleotides. NCBI's taxonomy places the organism in Eukaryota, Viridiplantae, Streptophyta, Magnoliopsida, Fabales, Fabaceae. The record is from RefSeq and is a predicted model, not a curated record.